GAUGAACGCUGGCGGCGUGCCUAAUACAUGCAAGUCGAGCGAACAGACGAGGAGCUUGCUCCUCUGACGUUAGCGGCGGACGGGUGAGUAACACGUGGAUAACCUACCUAUAAGAUUGGGAUAACUUCGGGAAACCGGAGCUAAUACCGGAUAAUAUAUUGAACCGCAUGGUUCAAUAGUGAAAGACGGUUUUGCUGUCACUUAUAGAUGGAUCCGCGCCGCAUUAGCUAGUUGGUAAGGUAACGGCUUACCAAGGCGACGAUGCGUAGCCGACCUGAGAGGGUGAUCGGCCACACUGGAACUGAGACACGGUCCAGACUCCUACGGGAGGCAGCAGUAGGGAAUCUUCCGCAAUGGGCGAAAGCCUGACGGAGCAACGCCGCGUGAGUGAUAAAGGUCUUCGGAUCGUAAAACUCUGUUAUUAGGGAAGAACAAAUGUGUAAGUAACUAUGCACGUCUUGACGGUACCUAAUCAGAAAGCCACGGCUAACUACGUG
RNAcentral lists this ribosomal RNA (497 nucleotides) under uncultured bacterium. Its description in RNAcentral is "partial 16S ribosomal RNA". It matches the Rfam family "Bacterial small subunit ribosomal RNA", at positions 28 to 507 of the family's 1533-position model. The record is from RNAcentral.